This 253-nucleotide ribosomal RNA is filed under the name uncultured bacterium. Its description in RNAcentral is "partial 16S ribosomal RNA". It matches the Rfam family "Bacterial small subunit ribosomal RNA", at positions 524 to 776 of the family's 1533-position model. The record is from RNAcentral.
UACGUAGGGGGCAAGCGUUGUCCGGAAUUAUUGGGCGUAAAGAGCGCGUAGGCGGUCCGGUAAGUCGGUUGUGAAAGUCGGGGGCUCAACCCUCGGAUGCCGAUCGAUACUGUCGGGCUAGAGUCCGGAAGAGGCGAGUGGAAUUCCUGGUGUAGCGGUGAAAUGCGUAGAUAUCAAGAGGAACACCUGAGGCGAAGGCGGGUUGCUGGGCUGACACUGACGCUGAGGCGCGAAAGCCAGGGGAGCGAACGGG